GUCGAAAGUCGGAGGAGUCCUGGGAGGGUCAAUCCUGUUAAAAACUUCGACUGAGGGUAUUUUAUACCCAACACAUCUUUUAGAUGUGUAAGGCUUUUCUCCUAUUUUAUGGAUAAAUACUGUUCAUAAAAAUAUAUUUUACCUAUCUAGAAAAGUACGAAAACAUGGAUAAGCUGGUCAAUGAGAAGGUUGACCAACUUUCCUAUGACCUUUAUCCUAGGGUGGAACUGGGUCG
This 235-nucleotide long non-coding RNA is filed under the name Elaeis guineensis (African oil palm). RNAcentral describes it as "long non-coding RNA (EGUI_LNC015929)". Lineage: Eukaryota; Viridiplantae; Streptophyta; Magnoliopsida; Arecales; Arecaceae. The record is from RNAcentral.